This is a long non-coding RNA of Musa acuminata AAA Group (dessert banana), 452 nucleotides long. RefSeq lists it as uncharacterized. The transcript has 3 exons. Lineage: Eukaryota; Viridiplantae; Streptophyta; Magnoliopsida; Zingiberales; Musaceae. The record is from RefSeq and is a predicted model, not a curated record.
CUUGGCUCAAACGAGGAGAAAUCCACGGAAUCGGGGUGGUCAGCAACGCCAGAAGCCGCAGGGAGGAGUAGCCGGCGAUCUCCGUUCGCCUUCUCCUUUCCUUCCGCUGAACUAGAAAUGGAUGUUGCGUACAUCUGUGGAGGAGCGGGUUGGGCGCAAUGCGGAUCGGCCAUUGUCUUCUCUCCAGAUCUCAUAUUGGCUCCAUUACAACCGCGACAGAAGAACUGCAAAAUUCUUUGCAUCUUGGAUGAACCCUGCGCUCGUUAGUCGCCUAUUUUCCCCCUUUUUGCCGAUGGUGGUUGUUCUUAGCACCACAAUCACUACGUUUGAAGAUAUCUUGUGCUUGUCUGCAACUUUGCUUCUUCCAUAUUUCGUUGUGCAUUUCAGAUGUUGCUUCAUUCUUUUUAUAAAAAUCUAAUGACCCAAAGCGAUCGAGUGUCGUUUCAUAUUGC